GAGAAAGUAAGCAAGGGCAGACGGUGGAUGCCUUGGCUCUCGGAGGCGACGAAGGACGUGAUAAGCUGCGAAAAGCCCGGGGGAGGCGCAAAUAGCCGUUGAUCCCGGGAUAUCCGAAUGGGGCAACCCGGCAGGCUGAAGGCCUGUCAUCCCGAAAGGGAGGCGAACGUGGGGAACUGAAACAUCUAAGUACCCAUAGGAGGAGAAAAUAAACAAUGAUUCCGUAAGUAGUGGCGAGCGAACACGGAAGAGCCCAAACCCAUGUCGUCUAGGCGACACGGGGGUUGUAGGACCACGACGUGGCAAGAAGGAAGGGAAAUGGAACGCCUUGGAAAAGUCGGCCAUAGACGGUGAAAGCCCGGUACAUGACUCCCUUACGAAGCCUAGUGGUAUCCUGAGUAGCGCGGGGCACGAGAAAUCUUGCGUGAAGCAGCGGGGCCCAUCCCGUAAGGCUAAAUACUCCCGAGAGACCGAUAGCGAACCAGUACCGUGAGGGAAAGGUGAAAAGAACCCCGAGCAGGGGAGUGAAAUAGACCCUGAACCCGUCUGCCUACAAGCGGUCGGAGCGUCGUAAUGACGUGACGGCGUGCCUUUUGCAUAAUGAACCUACGAGUUACCUUCCCCGGCAAGGUUAAGUUCUUGAGGAACGGAGCCGAAGCGAAAGCGAGUCUGAACAGGGCGCCAAGUCGGGGGGGGUAGACGCGAAACCGAGUGAUCUACCCUUGGCCAGGUUGAAGGUUGGGUAACACCAACUGGAGGACCGGAUGGGUAAGCGUUGAAAAGCUUUCCAAUGAGCUGAGGGUAGGGGUGAAAGGCUAAUCAAACUCGGAGAUAGCUCGUACUCCCCGAAAUGCAUUUAGGUGCAGCCUCUUUAUAGUAUAUCGUGAGGUAGAGCGACUGAUUGGAUGCGAGGGCUUCACCGCCUAUCAAGUCCAGAUAAACUCCGAAUGCGCGAUAUAUAUUUACAGGGAGUGAGGGCGCGGGUGCUAAGGUCCGUGUCCGAGAGGAGAAGAAUCCAGACCACCGGCUAAGGCCCCCAAAUGAUCGUUAAGUUGAACUAACGAGGUCGGAUCGCAGAGACAGCUAGGAUGUUGGCUUGGAAGCAGCCAUUCAUUUAAAGAGUGCGUAACAGCUCACUAGUCGAGCGAUCUGGCGUGGAUAAUAAUCGGGCAUAAACGAUCUGCCGAAGCCGUGGAUGUCGCAAGACAUGGUAGGGGAGCAUUCCAUGCCGCGUCGAAGAUGAGGGAUGACCCUUGUUGGAGCGCAUGGAAAAGCAAAUGUAGGUAUGAGUAACGAUAAGGGGGGCGAGAAACCCCCCCGCCGAAAGACCAAGGUUUCCUGAUCAACGCUAAUCGGAUCAGGGUGAGUCGGGACCUAAGGCAAAGCCGAACGGCGCCGCCGAUGGAAGAAUGGGUUAAUAUUCCCAUACUGCCUCAUGGAGUGACGUGGAGACGGAGAAGUGACAGUCCUGCCGGCUGACGGAAUAGCCGGUUGAAGGGUGUAGAUAUUGAUUCCCGUAGGCAAAUCCGCGGGGAGAGUCGAACCUGAGAGUAUACGGAGCGCUUGCGCAACGUAAUAUGGACGUAACCAUGCUCCCGAGAAAAUCCGCUAAACUUAUCCAUGCGGCACCCGUACCGUAAACGGACACACGUGGUCGGGUUGAGAAUACUGAGGCGCUCGAGUGAUUCACGGUUAAGGAACUAGGCAAAUUGACCCUGUAACUUCGGGAUAAAGGGUCCUCGUCGUAAGGCGAGGCGCAGAGAAUAGGUCCAGGCAACUGUUUAACAAAAACACAUGGCUGUGCUAAAUGGAAACAUGAUGUAUACAGCCUGACACCUGCCCGGUGCCGGAAGGUUAAGAGGAGAUGUCAUC
RNAcentral lists this ribosomal RNA (1872 nucleotides) under Parabacteroides distasonis. Its description in RNAcentral is "partial 23S ribosomal RNA". It matches the Rfam family "Bacterial large subunit ribosomal RNA", at positions 1 to 1894 of the family's 2925-position model. Lineage: Bacteria; Pseudomonadati; Bacteroidota; Bacteroidia; Bacteroidales; Tannerellaceae. The record is from RNAcentral.